AGGGGCUCAGGCAGCCCCUCGUGCAGAACUAGGCAGGUAUAUCUCCCUUCCUGGCCCGAGGUCACCCCCACAGCCGCCCACUUCUGGAAGGUCCCAUCUCCAGCAGGCCUGGUCUCGAUGAACUCUGUGUCCUGGUGCUGUUCUUCCCCA
Antechinus flavipes (yellow-footed antechinus) is the source of this 150-nucleotide long non-coding RNA. RefSeq lists it as uncharacterized. The record is from RefSeq and is a predicted model, not a curated record. The transcript has 2 exons. Lineage: Eukaryota; Metazoa; Chordata; Mammalia; Dasyuromorphia; Dasyuridae.